ACACGACUACAUUAGAUACCCGUGUAGUCCCAGCCCUAAACGAUGCGCGUUAGGUGUAUCGGUGACCACGAGUCACCGAGGUGCCGAAGGGAAACCGUGAAACGUGCCGCCUGGGAAGUACGGUCGCAAGGCUGAAACUUAAAGGAAUUGGCGGGGGAGCAUCACAACGGGUGGAGCCUGCGGUUUAAUUAAGGACUCAACGCCGGGAAGCUCACCGGAUAAGACAGCGGAAUGAUUGCCGGGCUGAAGACCCUGCAUGACCAGCUG
RNAcentral lists this ribosomal RNA (267 nucleotides) under uncultured archaeon. RNAcentral describes it as "partial 16S ribosomal RNA". It matches the Rfam family "Archaeal small subunit ribosomal RNA", at positions 719 to 982 of the family's 1478-position model. The record is from RNAcentral.